RNAcentral lists this unclassified non-coding RNA (264 nucleotides) under plant metagenome. RNAcentral describes it as "partial contains small subunit ribosomal RNA and internal transcribed spacer 1". The stretch from base 1 to 54 matches the Rfam family "Eukaryotic small subunit ribosomal RNA", at positions 1778 to 1831 of the family's 1831-position model. The record is from RNAcentral.
GGAAGUAAAAGUCGUGACAAGGUUUCCGUAGGUGAACCUGCGGAAGGAUCAUUACACAUACUUGUAGGAAACUACAAUGUAUAUCAACCAACUGUGCUCUUUUUCUUUUUUCACCCCAUACAAAAACUAUUUCAUUUUGAAAACUGAUUGUAAUGUGUGCCUUAUCUCGAGAGAGAAAAUCACACUCUGUGACUCUUUUGUUAAAAAAGUUGUCACGUUUUAUAAACUUUUGUACAACUCCUAACAAUGGAUAUCUUGGCUCUC